This 234-nucleotide long non-coding RNA is filed under the name Elaeis guineensis (African oil palm). RNAcentral describes it as "long non-coding RNA (EGUI_LNC013315)". Lineage: Eukaryota; Viridiplantae; Streptophyta; Magnoliopsida; Arecales; Arecaceae. The record is from RNAcentral.
UUCUCCAUCCAUCAUUCGUUCAAUCCAUCCCUCGUACCAAACAAAUGGUUAUUCUCUUCAAAUUCUAUUUGAUCUCUAUAGUAAAGGUGGGGCCCUUCGCACAAACGAAAAAAAUACCAGCCACAGAGGCCGUCCAAUAAAAGAAAAAACAUUCACAACAUGCUUUGGCAUUUAUGACAUAUCCACUGCUUUAAAAUUCUUGGGAUGUCGAGCUAUGUUUCAACGUCCAUGCUC